UCGGGGCGGAGUCAGACCCGCGCGGGCGGCCGUUGGCCGGGCUGCGCGUUCUCGAGCCUGCCUAGGGGAGGGUGGCGCGCGCUGCCCCUUGCCGGCCAUCACGCGCUUUAAUCUCAGGUUAGUCUGGUGCCAGUGGAACGGGCCAGCCCCGGCAGGGCCACGCCGUGGAUGGGCCUCAGGCAGUCCCGCGUCGAGGCGGGCGAGAAGCUUAUAUGGAUAAAACUGUGCCUACUAAACAAUGGCAUCUUAUAGUAAAAAAUCCGUGGCAAAUGUGCAGCUCCUCCAUAACAGUGACCACUAAUAAGAGCAGUCUUCUCAACGAAAAUAUACGUAAGAUACUGCAGCCAUCCUGAGCUGGGAAUUCAGUUAUCUCCUUGGACAGCAUAGAUUUCCUCAAUGCCUGAUCCCCUAAGAAAGAUUGCAGGAGCCUAUGGGAGAGAGUGACUGCUGAGAUGCAAGAACUAAGCGAGGGUAUCCCCACCAGAUAUGCAAUGUCCUGGCUUGUUCCACCGUCCUGGCUGAUGAUGCUACUCAAGUAUGUGAAUGUUUCUACACUGGUGAGAACAUGAUCCUCUAUCUGUACUGGUGAUGGGGAGGCAAUAUUAAAGAUGGAGAUGGAUCAGUCAUGUGCUUCGGAUGGAAACUGAUUCCAUUACCAGAGUAGCAACAUGAUGGACACCUGAAGGCAAGUGAAAACGAGGCUGACUGAAAACAACAUGGCGAAGAGCUGUGGAAGCCGAGCUGAAAAACCUGGGGCAUAGCUGGGGAACCGCUGAAAGACUUGCCAGAAA
Molecule: non-coding RNA, 791 nt
Organism: Chelonoidis abingdonii (Abingdon island giant tortoise)
Lineage: Eukaryota; Metazoa; Chordata; Testudines; Testudinidae
Source: RefSeq, a predicted model, not a curated record